Molecule: long non-coding RNA, 375 nt
Organism: Dreissena polymorpha
Lineage: Eukaryota; Metazoa; Mollusca; Bivalvia; Myida; Dreissenidae
Exons: 3
Source: RefSeq, a predicted model, not a curated record
UGCAAAACGGCCCUGCGUACAUAAACGUUUUUCGAUGCAUAUUUCUUUACCGUGCAAUACACAGUUGUGACACAUAGUUGCAAAAUCGCCAUCAUGAAGAUUGUUGUUGUUUUAACACUUGUGCUGAUAGUUGCCGCUGGCACUAUAGAAGCGCAAACCGCCGGAGAGGGGUCGAUGUGCAGUGGAUUUGCAGGAGUUCAGUGUCGGGCAGGCCUGUUCUGUGAUUACAGCUUGGGAUCAGCGGGCAUUUGUCGGCGUCGUAAUGGGUUUUCUGGGUGAAACCAUUUGAUAAUACUGAGAGCAAGACAGUGAUUCCAAGUGGCAAAGAAACAUAUUUUUGCAUGUUAUGGCUAUCAGAAUAAAAUAAAGACUCAA